UGAGGAAUUUUGCGCAAUGGCCGCAAGGCUGACGCAGCAACGCCGCGUGGGUGAAGAAGGCCUUCGGGUCGUAAAGCCCUGUCAGGUGGGAAGAACGACCGGGAAGUGAACAGCUUUCCGGUGUGACGGUACCACCAGAGGAAGCACCGGCUAACUCCGUGCCAGCAGCCGCGGUAAUACGGAGGGUGCGAGCGUUAUUCGGAUUUACUGGGCGUAAAGCGCGUGCAGGCGGAUUGGAGAGUUGGAUGUGAAAGCUCCCGGCUUAACUGAGAGAAGUCGUUCAAUACUUCCAGUCUUGAGUGCAGUAGAGGGAAGUGGAAUUCCGGGUGUAGUGGUGAAAUGCGUAGAUAUCCGGAGGAACACCAGUGGCGAAAGCGGCUUCCUGGACUGUAACUGACGCUCAGACGCGAAAGCUAGGGUAGCAAACG
Molecule: ribosomal RNA, 428 nt
Filed under: uncultured bacterium
Lineage: Bacteria
Description: bacterial SSU rRNA
Rfam family: Bacterial small subunit ribosomal RNA
Source: RNAcentral